AUGCAUGGAAGUGGGUUAAAACGAGUUACUCCCUUUCCUUGCUCUCCUGGUCUGUGCACUGGGGGGAUGUGGGUGGGGUGGGGGUGCACACGGGAGUUGGGCUGGGGACAGGAAGCGCACCACUGCUGCCCCCUCCCAAUGCCCUGCCUGGUGGAAUCUUGGCUUUUCGCGAGUAGCCGGACGGACAUCUUCGAGGCAGGAAGCAAAUCACGGGCAUGCCCUCCUGGACCAAGCUCUUCCUCCUGGAGGACUAGGGACAAGCCAGGACCUCUCUCCGGUCCACGGCAGCCCCGUCGGAGUGUGGGCCAUAGUCAGGCAAACCGGGGAGAGGCACACGUCCCAGACUGGUGGCCCUGGACCGUAGGGGCCGGGAACGACCGCGUUGCCUGGAAGCCAAAAGCCGAGACACUGCAGAGUUCAGUCUGGGACCCAGUGCACGGACUCUGUAUGCCAGGGCCCUGCUGUCAACCACAGGGGACACCACCGCAGGGGACCUUUUCUUUAGGGGGUGUUUUGUGGAGUGGGGGGGGGGGGUCUGGUCUAGUUGCUCCCUGAAAAACUCCUCUUACUCUGCAUGUAAGAGUCUUUUCUGUUCUACCCUAUCACCACAGCCCCAAAAUUGUUCCGGCUUUCUGCACAGCACUCCUCAUACCCCCAGAUUACUGAGCUAUAACUGCCAUACAACAUCGUAUUACUUUGUGAUUAGCUUUCUGAUGUAGGAAGGAUCUAAGCCCCUGGAGUUGUGUUUCAUGUUAAUUCUGACUUCCACUGUGCCUGUCUGCAAGCGAACACGAGAACCAUUGCAGGGGCUCAAGCCAAGUGGAUGUUUUUCUUGUUCCUCUUUGUGUGUUUGUUUGUUUGUUUGUUUUUUCCCACCAGAUUCUCAGGUAGGGAAUCUCUCCUUCUCCCUCUGUUCACGGUUCCCAACCCUUCCAAGCCCCUGGGGCAUACGCUACUCAGGCUUAGUUAGGGUCCUGUGUCCUGGCUGCAUCACUGAACAGAACAAGGCUCAUUUGUCCUAGUCCCUCUUCCAGUUAGUGGGUUAGGUCCCCAUGCAACUUUUCUUAUAUUCCUCAUAUCCUCCGACUCCCAAACCCGGCUCUCCUCUCCUUUAGCUAGACUCUUCUACCAGAAUUCAAGCAGAAGGUUCAGUGAAAGCCCAGGGGGUUACCCAGCACUUCGCUGGCAGAGUGAGGCUUAGAAGGCCCCACCCAGCACUGUCAGGACAGAAAAGAUGAGUGGGAACAUGGAAUAUUGUGAGUCUUCCAGGAAGCAAUAGUUCCAGAGAGAUAAGGCUUAUAUGAAAGGGGGAAACACCCCAAAUUACAUGUCACAAAUUUCAUAAAAACAAACCAAAAAGGGGUCAGGAUAAGACAUCAGAUAAAAGGCUAAUCAAAAAAUAAGUGGAAAGCUGCCUCCUUCAUUAUCCUUUAGGGAGCAAAUGCUUCACAAGAGAGAAACUAUGGCACACAGAAGAACACUUUCUACUGACAAAGCAAUUCCUAGUUAGUGCAGGAAACCCAGCACUACGUUGCCUGUAAAAACUGCAAAAUCAGGGAUGGAAUUUCCUUUGGUUAAAUCAACAGUCAUUUUGGACAUGCUAUUCUCUGGUACUAAUGGACUGAGGACUGUGCUUGACAGCGAUGAGCCAGGCACUCAGAAUCCAAACCUUCCUACUGAUCCCUCUCACCUCAGGCCCCAAAGGCAUGAUGAGGAGGAAAAAGUAGGCUCCUGACAUGGAGGGCUCACUGGGGGAUAAAAGUAGUAAGAACAGCAGUUAACAGUACUGCCUCAGGUUCGGGUUAAGCCCGUGCUUCCUAUGUAUUCUCUCACUGAAUCCCACAGUCUCUGCAGGGAGGUGUUAUUUGUUCUUAUUUUACAAAUGAAGCAACUAAGUCACAGAGAAUUAAGUAGUUUGUCCAGUGUAGUGAAAUGGGAAGCAAAUAGGUACCAUGAUUGAACUUGCAUUCUAAAAGGGUCACCCUAAUUGCUCUGUUUACAUUGUAGAGGGCCUAGGACAGCAGGAUGGAGGUUACAGCAGUAAUCCAGCCAAGAGAGGAUGACAAGGAGGUGGUGAGAAGUGGUAAGUAUGUUGGUCUUUAUUUUUCUAUAUUAUACAGAUCAGAUGUGGGGUGUGAGAGAGAAGUAGUCAAGGAUCAUUCCAAGGUUUCUGGCCUAAGCAACUAACUAGUGGAAAUAUGCAGUUGCCAUUAACUGACUUAGGAAAUGUUCUGGCUCCAGCGUAUUUUCAGGGGAAGAUCAAUAGUUUAGUUUUGGGUAUGUUGAGCUUGAGAUGUCGACUGGACAAUAAAUGAAAAUGUCAAGUCACCAACUGGAUAUACAAGCCUAGAGUUCACAGAAGCCUGGGUUGGGAUAUAUAUAUUUGAAAAUCAUCAAUUUACAGAUGGUGUUGAAAACCUUGAUACCUGAAAAGAUAACCCAGAGGCUCAGGGUAGAGAAACAACAGCAGAGGACUUAAGACUGAGAUAUGGGGGCAUUCUGGCAUGAAGAAGUCAGGGGGAGGGGAAGAAACAGCAAAGACUGAAAAGAAGCUACCAGUAACACAGAAGGAAAACUUAAAAAGUGGCGUCCUUAAAACCAAGUGAACGAAACCUAUCGAGGAGGAAGUAAUCAGUUGUACCAAAAAGAGGCUGGGAGCUAAGACGGUAAUUGACCAGUCAAUAUAGCAACAUGAAGGUCACCGUCCAUUUGACAAGAGCAAAUUAAGUAGAAUGGUAGCUGUAAAAUUCUGUAUGGAGAGUGGAUGUAAAAUAGAAAAUGGACAGGAACUGGAGACAAGGGAGUACAGAAAACGUCAGUUCUGAUGUAAAAGGAAGCAAAGAAAUGAACAGCAGGGCUGGACAACGAGAAUCAAGGAGCAGGGGGCUGUGUGUGCGUGUUAAUUAAGACAGAAGACCUAAAGGUUUAUCUGUUGGUUGACAGGAAAGGUCCUGCUGGAGAGCAAAAUCCAAUGAUGCAGGAGACGUGCGGAGAUGGAACUGGGUACCCACGGGAAGGAAACGCCUUCAGAUAGGAGCAUAGACACGGACUCCUGUUACCCACUUUCUAUCAUGAGACAUGAGGCUAUCAGGGCUGCGACACUCCCCUCUACUACUCUCUCAAAAACUACGUAAUAAUUUCUGGUUAAGGUCACAUUCUGUAAGUUUCCACUAUUAAGACAAUAUAAAUACCACAUAUUUACAUUUUCUUACACAACUUAUUUUUUGUUAUUGUAGCUAGAGUUAGUAAUAACCUCAUAUAUUUUUAAAUUAGACUCGACUUUUUAAGAGUUUUUUUUAAAGAUUUUAUUUAUUUAUUUGACAGGUUGAGCAAGAUCACAAGUAGGCAGAGAGACAGGCAGAGAGAGAGAGAAGGAAGCAGGCUCCCCGCUGAGCAGAGAGCCCGAUGCAGGGCUCGAUCCCAGGACCCUGAGAUCAUGACCUGAGCCCAAGGCAGACACUUACCCACCCCGAGCUACCCAAGUGCCCUUUGACUCUAGCUUUUAGAGCAGUUUUAGGAUUACGGAAAAACUGAGCCGAAAGUAGAAUCCCCAUGUGUCCUCUCCCUCUCCUACAGUUCUCCCUAUUAAAAUCUUGCUCUUGUAACUGCGGUACAUUUGUUGCAAUUAAUGAACUGGGAUUCACUGACUGUUACUAAUUAAAGUCUUCAGCUUGCACUAAGGUUCACUCUUCGUGUUGUACUUUCUAUGGGUUUUGAUGAAUGCGUAAUGACAGAUACCCACUGUCCAUCAAAUGCAGAACCGUCCCGUUACCGUAAACCCCCUGCCCCACUUACUUACCCUCCCUACCUUCCCCCAAUCUUUUUACUACCUUCAAUCUCGCCUUUUCACAAUGUCAUAGAGUUGGAACCAUAAAACAUGCAGCCUUUUCUUUUUUUAUAUAAGAGAUUUUUAAAAAAUAUAUCUAUUUGAGAGAGAAAGAGCACAACACAAGUUGGGGGGGUGCAGAGAGAGAGGAAGAAGCAGAUUCCCCAUUGAGGAGGAAGUCCAAUGCAGGGCUCGAUCCCAGGACCCCACGGUCGUGACCUGAGCUGAGGAUAGGCAUUUCACCGACCGAGGCACCGAGGUGGCCCUCUAUAGCAUUUCCUUUGGAGUCUGUCAGUUCCAUGUCUAUGCCUACAUUUCCCCGGUGUUCUUGCAUGUCAGCCAUUUCCCAUCAAAGUCCUUACCGUAUUCAUCAUAGCUCUUUUAACAAUUUUUUUAAAUUUAUUUAUUUGGGGGCGCCUGGGUGGCUCCAUGGGUUAAAG
Molecule: long non-coding RNA, 4266 nt
Filed under: Mustela putorius furo (domestic ferret)
Lineage: Eukaryota; Metazoa; Chordata; Mammalia; Carnivora; Mustelidae
Description: lncRNA (ENSMPUG00000030743.1)
Source: RNAcentral